This 441-nucleotide ribosomal RNA is filed under the name uncultured bacterium. RNAcentral describes it as "partial 16S ribosomal RNA". It matches the Rfam family "Bacterial small subunit ribosomal RNA", at positions 338 to 795 of the family's 1533-position model. The record is from RNAcentral.
CCUACGGGAGGCAGCAGUGGGGAAUAUUGCUCAAUGGGGGCAACCCUGAUGCAGCGACGCCGCGUGCGUGAAGAAGUAUUUCGGUAUGUAAAACUCUAUUAGCAGGGAAGAAAAAAGACGGUACCUUACUAAUAAGCCCCGGCUAACUACGUGCCAGCAGCCGCGGUACUACGUAGGGGGCAAGCGUUAUCCGGAUUUACUGGGUGUAAAGGGAGCGUAGACGGUUGUGCAAGUCUGAAGUGAAAGCCCAGGGUUCAACCUUGGAACUGCCUCGGAAACUGUGGGGCUAGAGUGCUGGAGCGGUAAGCGGAAUGCAUGGUGUAGCGAUGAAAUGCGUAGAUAUUAGGAGGAACACCAGUGGCGAAGGCGGCUUACUGGGCAGUAACUGACGUUGAGGCUCGAAAGCGUGGGGAGCAAACAGGAUUAGAUACCCCAGUAGUC